Molecule: ribosomal RNA, 274 nt
Filed under: uncultured bacterium
Lineage: Bacteria
Description: partial 16S ribosomal RNA
Rfam family: Bacterial small subunit ribosomal RNA
Source: RNAcentral
AUACGGAGGGGGCUAGCGUUGUUCGGAAUUACUGGGCGUAAAGCGCACGUAGGCGGAUUAAAAAGUUAGGGGUGAAAUCCCAGGGCUUAACCCUGGAACUGCCUUUAAAACUAGUAGUCUAGAGUUCGAGAGAGGUGAGUGGAAUUCCAAGUGUAGAGGUGAAAUUCGUAGAUAUUUGGAGGAACACCAGUGGCGAAGGCGGCUCACUGGCUCGAUACUGACGCUCAGGUGCGAAAGCGUGGGGAGCAAACAGGAUUAGAAACCCCAGUAGUCC